This is a long non-coding RNA of Populus nigra (black poplar), 649 nucleotides long. RefSeq lists it as uncharacterized. Lineage: Eukaryota; Viridiplantae; Streptophyta; Magnoliopsida; Malpighiales; Salicaceae. The transcript has 2 exons. The record is from RefSeq and is a predicted model, not a curated record.
CCUGAGCAAGAGUUGCGGAUACAAUGUUGAUGACUUGUUUCUUGAUGAAGCUGCUGCUUUGUGAAUUGCGAUUGAUGUAGGCGUAGCCGCGUGGGAAGCACAGGCAACAGAAUGCAGUGUGUUCUUGCGCUGGCGCAAUUGUAAUUCCUAAGAUAGCCUUGAUCCCAAAAAAAAGAAAAAGAAAACGGAGGAUCAGGUGUCGUUGAUCAAGAAUCGAAGGCAUGCAGAUUGCAGUCUCCAAGACAAGCUAACCAUACCUCACCUGGACUUGCCUCAGUUGAGAGUUUUGGCCGACCUUGUCCAGCAACGUUAUCCCAGUUAAUACUGUUGUUUCUUCCCAUGCCUUGUCGUGGUUAGGAGAAAAGGUUGCCGGAGAUUUAGAAUUGCACGAUUUACUGCAUGAAUCCAUAUGCAUACACAAACUCUGCCCUGACUCCAUCUAUGUCCAAAUUUGAGCUUAUAGUUACUUUUCCAUCAACAAUCACCAUAGAUAUGCCUCUCCACUGUAGGGAGAUAGAUUACUAGCAAAAAUUAACAUUGAUAAAAAAACUAACAGACGUGGGGUUUUCACUUAGGCCCCACGCUCUAUGCACAAACAUUGUGUAUUUGCAAUGCUUUUGUUUUUUAAUAUCAAUUUUUCUCUCUGCAA